ACUUCCAGGUGUGUUACUGAAUGUAGUGGUCAUACUAAUUCUAAUUUCCUAGCAGAUAUGGGCACCCAAUUGGAUGAGCCCUUAUUCAGCAAGUGACCCCGGAUAUCAUUCAUGUAUGGAGAUUGUUCGUGCAACCUGACGCUCUGACUCUGCUUUGAAUUGUCUGCAAUCAGUUUUUUUUAUAGAUGAAACAGCUUGAUAUUUGAACAAUUUAUCAAUGUCGAUGACACAACCAGUACACGUGAAAACCCCCAAAAGCCAUUGGUGUAUGCAGAUGAUAUGGCUGUCAUCUCUUUUAGUUUUAGUUGCAUUUACUGAAGUGUUCUGUCACUUAAUUCUGCAAAUCAAUGAUCAACCUAACCCAGGUAUCCAUUCUAAUUACUCAUUUCAGUACCAUCCUACCAGACCCUUGUAUACAUUAUGUUCUCACUAGAUAUGAUGCUGAAGAAAAAACUAAGUGCACGAAAGAAAGAAGUGGUAGCUGGAGGAGAAGAUGUCGCUGCUGGUGGCGCGCCAUCGGGACUGACGGAAGGCGAUGGCAGGGACACCGCAACCCCAUCAUGGCGAGCAUUAGAUAUUGUUCUCAAUUAGAAAAAUCUUGAUGAUGUAAAUUAUCAUAUCAUUGUGAGCAUGAGCGUUGUUAUGAACUUUUGAUGAGUAUGUUCUGGUCCAGUCAUUAGCAGAUUGAUGGUGGUGUAUUUUUAUUUGAGUUGUACUCAGAAUUAUCACUGUUCAAGAUUUUCGUGCAAGUCUGCUA
Long non-coding RNA from Lolium rigidum, 757 nucleotides. RefSeq lists it as uncharacterized. The record is from RefSeq and is a predicted model, not a curated record. Lineage: Eukaryota; Viridiplantae; Streptophyta; Magnoliopsida; Poales; Poaceae. The transcript is spliced from 2 exons.